GUCUGGCUGACUCAGUCAGUGGAGUGUGAGACUCUUGAUCUCGGGGUCGUGAGUUCAAGUCCCACACUGGGUG
Molecule: transfer RNA, 73 nt
Filed under: Felis catus (domestic cat)
Lineage: Eukaryota; Metazoa; Chordata; Mammalia; Carnivora; Felidae
Rfam family: tRNA
About the family: Transfer RNA (tRNA) molecules are approximately 80 nucleotides in length. Their secondary structure includes four short double-helical elements and three loops (D, anti-codon, and T loops).
Source: Rfam by way of RNAcentral